This 486-nucleotide ribosomal RNA is filed under the name uncultured bacterium. Its description in RNAcentral is "partial 16S ribosomal RNA". It matches the Rfam family "Bacterial small subunit ribosomal RNA", at positions 30 to 507 of the family's 1533-position model. The record is from RNAcentral.
AUUGAACGCUGGCGGCAUGCCUUACACAUGCAAGUCGAACGGCAGCACGGGUGCUUGCACCUGGUGGCGAGUGGCGAACGGGUGAGUAAUACAUCGGAACAUGUCCUGUAGUGGGGGAUAGCCCGGCGAAAGCCGGAUUAAUACCGCAUACGAUCUACGGAUGAAAGCGGGGGACCUUCGGGCCUCGCGCUGUUGGGUUGGCCGAUGGCUGAUUAGCUAGUUGGUGGGGUAAAGGCCUACCAAGGCGACGAUCAGUAGCUGGUCUGAGAGGACGACCAGCCACACUGGGACUGAGACACGGCCCAGACGCCUACGGGAGGCAGCAGUGGGGAAUUUUGGACAAUGGGCGAAAGCCUGAUCCAGCAAUGCCGCGUGUGUGAAGAAGGCCUUCGGGUUGUAAAGCACUUUUGUCCGGAAAGAAAUCCUUGGCCCUAAUACGGUCGGGGGAUGACGGUACCGGAAGAAUAAGCACCGGCUAACUACGUG